This 253-nucleotide ribosomal RNA is filed under the name uncultured bacterium. RNAcentral's name for it is "partial 16S ribosomal RNA". It matches the Rfam family "Bacterial small subunit ribosomal RNA", at positions 524 to 776 of the family's 1533-position model. The record is from RNAcentral.
GACGUAGGGUGCAAGCGUUGUCCGGAUUUAUUGGGCGUAAAGAGCUCGUAGGCGGCUUGUUGCGUCGACUGUGAAAACCCGCGGCUUAACCGCGGGCUUGCAGUUGAUACGGGCAGGCUAGAGUUCGGUAGGGGAGACUGGAAUUCCUGGUGUAGCGGUGAAAUGCGCAGAUAUCAGGAGGAACACCGGUGGCGAAGGCGGGUCUCUGGGCCGAUACUGACACUGAGACGCGAAAGCUAGGGGAGCAAACGGG